GAUUCAGAGCAUAGAGUCUGUCAUGGCCGGAAGUCGCCGGAAAAAGUUGAGCGGAGCCGAUGGAAUACGAUGUCGGAGCUUAGGGUGCCUCAUGAAGUAGUAACCGGAGAGGAGAGCAAAGAGCUUAAAAGGUGUUAUGUAGAGAACCAUUGCAACGAUGAAACAGAACGUCACAAAUAUUGCGGUAGCGCGUGGAUCACGCCAGCUCAGCAGAGCCUGCACGCGCUCUCCCUGUGCCGCUAUGUCUCCAACCACCGUCUGUAUCUUCCCCGCCACAAUUCUCAGCCGAUCAUACCUGUUAAACAACCGUGUUAGAGGUUCCAGGUUCGAGAGACCAUAGGGACGAAACUAAUAUUACAUUUAUUGUUUCGGGUCGGGAGGAUUACUAGCUUCGGUCCCGAACCUCAUAGUAUUCAAAAAAAUAAAUUAAGUAAAUAACUUGAUGAGUUACCUCAUUUUGACAAUGUCUGGAGCCUUCAUGGUCGGGAAGAUAUCAAACUCUUCGUCGAGCUCAUCAGCAUUCACACUCUCCGCGUAAGACAGUUUGGUAUCCAUAUGAGGAGGAAACCUCGGCCUAAUCCUGUAGUUCCACAACCCAAUCACAGCCAUAUACAGAAACACAGUCGGCAAAAUCAUCUCCGGGAACAUCACAAGCAUCGUGUACAACACAUGCACAAGCCCCGUCGUCACCGGCGUCCUCCAGCUGCAAACUUCUCCCAUCCAUUUCCACACCGACAUCACUCCCGAGAACACCGCGGUGAACCUAAAGAAGUUAGCCUUGCUUCUCCUCAUGCUGAAGAGAUGAGUCUUGGCAUCCGUCAUGUACUCGACAACUUCGCGUCUAAGCGGCGGCUCCGACCGUCCUAAGCGAGCCACGAUUAUGUUGAGAGCCUGGACUCUAAGAAUUUCUUGUAGGUUUACGGAUAAAGGCUGCGUGUAAUGCAUUUUAGGCAAGAGAGGUUUGGUGUAUUUCAUCAGCGUGUUGGAGACGGAUGUGCAGGUGAACCUCACUGCUAAGUGAAGCUCGCCUCUUUUCUUGAGACCAGAUGGGGUUAGAACUAGUAAAGGGUACGCGUUCGUGUAUACGCGGCCCGUCUGAAGAGUAGAGAGUCUGAUACGGACUUUCCCAAUGGUCUGAUCUCUGCCAUUUCCAGAUGAAAAGUGACCGUUGUCGAAUACGCAGAUGGUUAAGACCGUCGCGGGGUCUAAAACCUCCCAUGUGUACUGCUCAUUGUACUUUGGAUUCAAGCUGUUGAUCACAGUUCUCGACCGAACCCACUUGUGACCGUACUUGGCAACAACGUACGUGUCCGAAGUACCUUUCCCGUCUCGGUUUUUAACCGGGUGGAGCCCGUUUGCGUUGAGUAUCCCAAGCUCCAAGACACCGAUCGCUUGUUUCCAGAGCUGUCUCGCCGUUGGCCUUAGAUCGCUGCUGUAGUAAGUAGACUCGUCAAAGACAUGGUAGCCUCCUUCAAGAACCGCAGCCACGUGGAGCCUAGUAGCGAACUUUACUCUCUUGGCUUUGUCCUCAUCCAUAGCGUCUGAGAUCGAGUCUUCGAGAUGAAACCAACGGCUACGGAACGCUCUAUCAUCAUUACGUCUCUCGAUAGCGGAGAGAGGGAUCACAGCUUUGCCUACAGGCUCGUCUCUGUUGGCUGCGGAGUGGUCUUCCACCGAGAGGACCAGGUGUUCCUCAAACGGCUCCGCGACUACGAACAUGAACUCAUUGUCCCAUCUCGGAUGAAAGCUUCUUUGAGCCACUUUAGUCUUUAACAUCUGGUUACCGACCUGGAUUCUCACAAAGGCUUCAGGGAGACGUGACUUGUCGGAGACUAUGAUCACGUCUUGAGCCUCUAUUAUCUUCACCCUUAGGUACCAUAGCCGAGGGGAAUGGUAGACCUUGGACCGGAGGUUAGCGGAGAUAAUGUCGGAGCUGUCUGAAGAUGUUAACGAGUCUGAGAAGACAGCAUCACCGAAGGCUUCAUCAGCUUGAGUACCUUCCCAAACAGCAAGCAUGAUCUCAGCUCUCUUCUUCUCACCUCUCUUGUUCUCAAGUCUAUACCACUCUGGAGCUAAAGGACUAUCCGGAGGGACACGAGAUUGAACCUCAUUGAGAUCAAACCGGACAGUGCCAACGUAAUCAUCUAGGACAAGGUCUUUAUCCUUGACGACUAUUUCGAGAACGUUGGACUGAAGAUUCUCUUUAGCAAAUGCAAAGACUUGGUUCCACUCCGGAUCCGAGUUCUUGUCCAAAUGUCUUGUAACUCCUUUGAAGUUUCCUAUUUUUACUUCCACGUAAGGGUCUAGGCUUCCCGUUAGGUCUCUGUCGGGGAGAUCACGCGCCUUCACGACUCUCACGAAGAGAAACCUCAUCUCUUCGACGAGAUCGUAUGUGCCUACGGGCCUCUGCGUACCACGAACUAUUCGUCCUCCAAUGAUCCGUCCACCUCCGAGGAAAGGGCUCGUCUCUUUCACAGUGAAAUCUGAUGAUGGGCCUGGGCCGUUGUGAAGAAGAUGAAAGAGUUCUAUAUAGAGACAUAUAUAUGUUUGUUUGAAUCCUCACGAAACACGAUUCAGAGCAUAGAGUCUGUCAUGGCCGGAAGUCGCCGGAAAAAGUUGAGCGGAGCCGAUGGAAUGCGGUGUCGGAGCUUAGGGUGCCUCAUGAAGUAGUAACCGGAGAGGAGAGCAAAGAGCUUAAAAGGUGUUAUGUAGAGAACCAUUGCAACGAUGAAACAGAACGUCACAAAUAUUGCGGUAGCGCGUGGAUCACGCCAGCUCAGCAGAGCCUGCACGCGCUCUCCCUGUGCCGCUAUGUCUCCAACCACCGUCUGUAUCUUCCCCGCC
This 2844-nucleotide long non-coding RNA is filed under the name Brassica napus (rape). RNAcentral describes it as "long non-coding RNA (BNAP_LNC002441)". The record is from RNAcentral. Lineage: Eukaryota; Viridiplantae; Streptophyta; Magnoliopsida; Brassicales; Brassicaceae.